Molecule: long non-coding RNA, 168 nt
Organism: Sander lucioperca (pikeperch)
Lineage: Eukaryota; Metazoa; Chordata; Actinopteri; Perciformes; Percidae
Exons: 3
Source: RefSeq, a predicted model, not a curated record
GCCCUAUUGUUUACUUCAUUAAUGUGUUUACUGUGUUAAUGGACUGAAGAUGGGAGUAGGAUUCGGUAUUCGAUUUUGGAUUCGGCAGAAUCUUAGCCAGUGGAUUCAGUAUUCGACUGAACCCAAAAAAUCUGGAUUCGGUGCAUCCCUUUUGUAAACUACUUGCAC